Molecule: transfer RNA, 72 nt
Filed under: Oryctes borbonicus
Lineage: Eukaryota; Metazoa; Arthropoda; Insecta; Coleoptera; Scarabaeidae
Rfam family: tRNA
About the family: Transfer RNA (tRNA) molecules are approximately 80 nucleotides in length.
Source: Rfam by way of RNAcentral
GAUUCUGUAGUGUAGUUGAUAGCAAACCUGUCCGACAAAUAGGAAUUGCAAGCUCGAAUUCUGCCGGAGUCG